Molecule: microRNA precursor, 103 nt
Filed under: Marmota monax (woodchuck)
Lineage: Eukaryota; Metazoa; Chordata; Mammalia; Rodentia; Sciuridae
Source: RNAcentral
AGUGGGAUAACUGGGUCAAAUGGUGGUUCCAUUCCAAAUUUUCUGAGGAAUCACCACACUGCUAUCCAAAGUGGUUGUACCAAUUUGCAGUCCCACCAGCAAU